GAUGAACGCUAGCGAUAGGCUUAACACAUGCAAGUCGAGGGGCAGCAUGGUCUUAGCUUGCUAAGACUGAUGGCGACCGGCGCACGGGUGCGUAACGCGUAUGCAACUUGCCUCACAGAGGGGGAUAACCCGUCGAAAGACGGACUAAUACCGCGUACACUCCAUCUUGGGCAUCCAAGGUAGAGGAAAUGAAAUUCGCUGUGAGAUAGGCAUGCGUCCCAUUAGCUAGUUGGUGAGGUAACGGCUCACCAAGGCGACGAUGGGUAGGGGAACUGAGAGGUUGAACCCCCACACUGGUACUGAGACACGGACCAGACUACUACGGGAGGCAGCAGUGAGGAAUAUUGGUCAAUGGGCGAGAGCCUGAACCAGCCAAGUCGCGUGAAGGAUGACUGUCUUAUGGAUUGUAAACUUCUUUUAUACGGGAAUAACGAGAGUCACGCGUGACUCCCUGCAUGUACCGUAUGAAUAAGCAUCGGCUAACUCCGUG
Molecule: ribosomal RNA, 490 nt
Filed under: uncultured bacterium
Lineage: Bacteria
Description: partial 16S ribosomal RNA
Rfam family: Bacterial small subunit ribosomal RNA
Source: RNAcentral